This is a long non-coding RNA of Panicum virgatum (switchgrass), 466 nucleotides long. RefSeq lists it as uncharacterized. The transcript is spliced from 3 exons. The record is from RefSeq and is a predicted model, not a curated record. Lineage: Eukaryota; Viridiplantae; Streptophyta; Magnoliopsida; Poales; Poaceae.
AAUUUUCUUACUAUUUCUUUUCAAAUUUGGGUGUAUUCAGGGCGAGCCGCAAGCAGUGGCCUACAUGUUUAUGCCUUUAUCACCUAUAUUAGGCUAUGGAAGCAUUGAUGUACUUCUUCAUAAAACUAUGAACAAUUUAGGGGGCCCUUGUUUUCAGAUGUCAUGGCAAGGAGGGGCCAGGGUCUGGUGCUACUGCCAGGACGUCAUAUUAGAUUAUAGAAUUUCAGUGAGAUCAUGUAGUGUGAUGUGAGAAAUGCCUUCUUCAUGGACAAGAGGUAGUGAUGUAUUGGUCUCAAUAUUUUUUGAAACUUGAGUCAAUUCCUCUUGCAAGUUAAGAAUGAGGACAUUAUUGCUCAUUAUGAAGGAUAGGAAAGUUAACUGAUAAAUGAGUGUCCGCAUUGUCAUCAGGGUGCCGGCAGCGUAUUCAACACUGGUGGACUCAACUGUUUGGCAAAUUUCAAGUAUG